AAAUUGAAGAGUUUGAUCAUGGCUCAGAUUGAACGCUGGCGGCAGGCCUAACACAUGCAAGUCGAACGGUAACAGGAAGCAGCUUGCUGCUUUGCUGACGAGUGGCGGACGGGUGAGUAAUGUCUGGGAAACUGCCUGAUGGAGGGGGAUAACUACUGGAAACGGUGGCUAAUACCGCAUAACGUCGCAAGACCAAAGAGGGGGACCUUCGGGCCUCUUGCCAUCAGAUGUGCCCAGAUGGGAUUAG
Molecule: ribosomal RNA, 247 nt
Filed under: Salmonella enterica subsp. enterica serovar Infantis
Lineage: Bacteria; Pseudomonadati; Pseudomonadota; Gammaproteobacteria; Enterobacterales; Enterobacteriaceae
Also listed under: 13 other names
Description: partial 16S ribosomal RNA
Rfam family: Bacterial small subunit ribosomal RNA
Source: RNAcentral